UCUGAUAUGUAUUUUGCAUAUUUUCUUUCAGUCUGUGGCUUGUGUUUGCCUUCUCCUAAUAUUUAUUUUGCUUAUUUAACCUCAAAAAUCACAAUCCAAUUAUUUUUUAAGUACCAAUGACAUCCAGGUUUACAGUUUUUAAAAAGGUUGACAAAUCCUAAUGCUGUAUUCUUAUUUACCAUUGACUCCUUUUGUGGUUGGUUGCAUUUGAAGAAUGAAUCGAGUCAUCAAGCCCAACAUGGGCUCAACCUCAAACCUCACAUUCUUAACCAGGAUCCUCGCUGCUAUCAUCUGAGAGUCAGCCUGUGGCCUGUCCAAGUUGGCUGGGUCUGGCUGAGCUGAUUGGAG
RNAcentral lists this long non-coding RNA (348 nucleotides) under Homo sapiens (human). Its description in RNAcentral is "HSALNT0272493". The record is from RNAcentral. Lineage: Eukaryota; Metazoa; Chordata; Mammalia; Primates; Hominidae.